GCUUUAACAUGGGGGUACCUGCUGCCUAGAAAAAGUAAGUGCUUCCAUGUUUCAGUCG
RNAcentral lists this microRNA precursor (58 nucleotides) under Chrysemys picta bellii (western painted turtle). Its description in RNAcentral is "Cpi-Mir-430-P2_pre stem-loop". Lineage: Eukaryota; Metazoa; Chordata; Testudines; Emydidae. The record is from RNAcentral.